AUAGCAUAUCAAUAAGCGGAGGAAAAGAAACCAACAGGGAUUGCCCUAGUAACGGCGAGUGAAGCGGCAACAGCUCAAAUUUGAAAUCUGGCCUCGGCCCGAGUUGUAAUUUGCAGAGGAUGCUUCUGGCGCGGUGCCUUCCGAGUUCCCUGGAACGGGACGCCACAGAGGGUGAGAGCCCCGUAUGGUCGGACACCAAGCCUGUGUGAAGCUCCUUCGACGAGUCGAGUAGUUUGGGAAUGCUGCUCUAAAUGGGAGGUAAAUCUCUUCUAAAGCUAAAUACCGGCCAGAGACCGAUAGCGCACAAGUAGAGUGAUCGAAAGAUGAAAAGCACCUUGAAAAGGGGGUUAAAUAGUACGUGAAAUUGUUGAAAGGGAAGCACUUGUGACCAGACUUGGGUCGGGCGGCUCAUCAGGGGUUCUCCCCUGUGCACUCCGCCCGGCACAGGCCAGCAUCGGUUCUCGUGGGGGGAUAAGACCGCCGGGAACGUAGCACCCUCCGGGGUGUGUUAUAGCCCGGCGGACGAUACCCCCGUGGGGACCGAGGUUCGCGCUCCGCAAGGAUGCUGGCGUAAUGGUCACCAGUGACCCGUCUUGAAACACGGACCAAGGAGUCGUCCAUUAGAGCGAGCGUUUGGGUGUAAAACCCGCACGCGUAAUGAAAGUGAACGCAGGUGAGAGCUUCGGCGCAUCAUCGACCGAUCCUGAUGUUCUCGGAAGGAUUUGAGUAAGAGUUUUAACGGACGGACCCGAAAGACAGUGAACUAUGCUUGUAUAGGGUGAAGCCAGAGGAAACUCUGGUGGAGGCUCGCAGCGGUUCUGACGUGCAAAUCGAUCGUCAAAUAUGAGC
RNAcentral lists this ribosomal RNA (849 nucleotides) under Diaporthe clematidina. RNAcentral's name for it is "partial large subunit ribosomal RNA". It matches the Rfam family "Eukaryotic large subunit ribosomal RNA", at positions 35 to 916 of the family's 3401-position model. The record is from RNAcentral. Lineage: Eukaryota; Fungi; Ascomycota; Sordariomycetes; Diaporthales; Diaporthaceae.